RNAcentral lists this transfer RNA (62 nucleotides) under Ictidomys tridecemlineatus (thirteen-lined ground squirrel). RNAcentral's name for it is "Spermophilus tridecemlineatus (thirteen-lined ground squirrel) tRNA". It matches the Rfam family "tRNA", at positions 6 to 65 of the family's 71-position model. From Rfam's summary of the family: Transfer RNA (tRNA) molecules are approximately 80 nucleotides in length. Their secondary structure includes four short double-helical elements and three loops (D, anti-codon, and T loops). The record is from Rfam by way of RNAcentral. Lineage: Eukaryota; Metazoa; Chordata; Mammalia; Rodentia; Sciuridae.
UGUAGCUCAGUGGUAAGAGCGCUUGCCUAGCAUGUGUGAGGCCCUGGGUUCAAUUCUCAGCA